GUACCACAAUCAUUGUUCAACCUGUGCAGCUAAGGAACUAUUUCUGUCCCUGAGUAAGAAAUGUGACAUGUGAAGGCUUCCAACACAAAAACGUCACUCCUUAUAUGCACACUCUUGUCUACCAUUUUUGUAUGGGAAUGUCCUAACACAUACCUACACACGGCAGCGGUAGUGAUAAUUUUCAAAAAAUCGUUGUGGGCGCUGUGUUGGAGCUAUGCGCACGCUGUAGGUACCAGGACAUGCGCAUUGGGCUGCUCUUUCACGUGGUAUCUUUAAUAUCGGGUUUGUCUAAGUUCACCGUGUUUGAAGCAGUGACGUCAUUAUAAACAUUACAUCAUUACAAAUAAUCUUAGUUAAAAAACUGAAGGAUUCAGCACCAUCAUGAGAGAUAUAAUAUACAGUCUGAGCUCUCAUACAGGGCCAGUAGAGACUCAGAGGGAUGCUUACGCCUAGCUGGAGGACCUUGCUCACUUUUGUGAGGGAUGACCAGUGUGGCUUUCUUCUGUUGGCAGUGAAACAAAAUAGAGGGUACACGUUGUUACACACUGUCAGUUUCCAUCAAACAUUUUCUUGUCGCAAAUCGUACACUUCAGUUACCGCUCAACUUUGUAUAUACUCGAAGUUGUAUUUUUUGAUUGUAAUGUGUGCAUAGCAUGUACGCGUAUACCCUAUUUCCUACUACCAUUGACUAAUAUUUGUGUUUAAUUUUUCUCUUUGUAGUAUUAUGACCAAACUGACAAUUCAACUGCCGAGUUUCAGCAAUGCAUAA
This is a long non-coding RNA of Halichondria panicea, 769 nucleotides long. RefSeq lists it as uncharacterized. The record is from RefSeq and is a predicted model, not a curated record. The transcript has 2 exons. NCBI's taxonomy places the organism in Eukaryota, Metazoa, Porifera, Demospongiae, Suberitida, Halichondriidae.